CCACAUCUCGAGCCAAAGAACUGGCAGCUUAAAGCAACAGGCUCAUAGCAGUUCAAAAAACUAUCCAGACCUGCCCCUACCAACAACAUAACAUCCAGUGUCGCACCCAAGGCUCAAACGACUCAUCUUUUGAUAUUAAUGCAUAUGUCUAUGUAUGUAAUAUAUGUAUGUAUCUAUAUACUUACGUCGGUACGCAAACUGUCGAUGUUCUUCAAAAAACAAUAACCAUUGCUUACUUACAACUGCCUUAUGUAAUAUAUCCGCAUGCUCGAGAGCCUACCAAACAAUGUUACUAUUU
Long non-coding RNA from Panicum virgatum (switchgrass), 298 nucleotides. RefSeq lists it as uncharacterized. The record is from RefSeq and is a predicted model, not a curated record. NCBI's taxonomy places the organism in Eukaryota, Viridiplantae, Streptophyta, Magnoliopsida, Poales, Poaceae. The transcript is spliced from 2 exons.